This 557-nucleotide ribosomal RNA is filed under the name Sporobolomyces pararoseus. RNAcentral's name for it is "Sporidiobolus pararoseus partial large subunit ribosomal RNA". It matches the Rfam family "Eukaryotic large subunit ribosomal RNA", at positions 46 to 616 of the family's 3401-position model. The record is from RNAcentral. Lineage: Eukaryota; Fungi; Basidiomycota; Microbotryomycetes; Sporidiobolales; Sporidiobolaceae.
CAUAGCGGAGGAAAAGAAACUAACAAGGAUUCCCCUAGUAGCGGCGAGCGAAGCGGGAAAAGCUCAAAUUUGUAAUCUGGCGUCUUCGACGUCCGAGUUGUAAUCUCGAGAAGUGUUUUCCGUGAUAGACCGCAUACAAGUCUCUUGGAACAGAGCGUCAUAGUGGUGAGAACCCAGUACACGAUGCGGAUGCCUAUUACUUUGUGAUACACUUUCGAAGAGUCGAGUUGUUUGGGAAUGCAGCUCAAAUUGGGUGGUAAAUUCCAUCUAAAGCUAAAUAUUGGCGAGAGACCGAUAGCGAACAAGUACCGUGAGGGAAAGAUGAAAAGCACUUUGGAAAGAGAGUUAACAGUACGUGAAAUUGUUGGAAGGGAAACACAUGCAGUGAUACUUGCUAUUCGGGGCAACUCGAUUGGCAGGCCCGCAUCAGUUUUUCGGGGCGGAAAAGCAUAGAGAGAAGGUAGCAGUUUCGGCUGUGUUAUAGCUCUUUAUUGGAUUCGCCCUGGGGGACUGAGGAACGCAGCGUGCUUUUUGCAUGAGCUUCGGCUUAUCCACGC